CCGCGACAGUGAUAUUAUUACGUAAACCAGGUGAGCAUUUUUGUGAGAAGUAUUCAGAUAGGACCAAGGUCAGUAGGAAGAGGAAGAAGUUUCAUAUGCCACAUCGCCACAAUAUCCACUCUUAGACUGAAAUUUUGGCACUGAGAACUGAUGUAGUUUGUUAAGGAAAUUAUUUGCUCACAAAGAAGUGAGAAGAUUAUCCCAGCGUCCAAAGGUCUUAAAGCGUUAUUCCGACUUGAACAAAGCAUGAAGACAAAGCAGAGGGAACACUUUUGCCAAUAAAUAAGAAAUAUCAUUCCAGCUGUCCGCAGUCUGGUUGGGUUAUUCGGGCUAAAACAAAGAAAGACAACU
Molecule: long non-coding RNA, 351 nt
Organism: Lingula anatina
Lineage: Eukaryota; Metazoa; Brachiopoda; Lingulata; Lingulida; Lingulidae
Source: RefSeq, a predicted model, not a curated record